This 441-nucleotide ribosomal RNA is filed under the name uncultured bacterium. RNAcentral's name for it is "partial 16S ribosomal RNA". It matches the Rfam family "Bacterial small subunit ribosomal RNA", at positions 338 to 795 of the family's 1533-position model. The record is from RNAcentral.
CCUACGGGUGGCAGCAGUGAGGAAUAUUGGUCAAUGGGGGAAACCCUGAUGCAGCAACGCCGCGUGAAGGAAGACGGUCCUCGGAUUGUAAACUUCUGUUCUCCGGGAAGAAUCAUGACGGUAGCUAAGGAGCAAGCCACGGCUAACUACGUGCCAGCAGCCGCGGUAAUACGUAGGUGGCAAGCGUUGUCCGGAAUUACUGGGUGUAAAGGGAGCGCAGGCGGGAAGCCAAGUCAGCUGUUAAAACUACGGGCUUAACUUGUAGACUGCAGUUGAAACUGGUUUUCUUGAGUGAAAUAGAGGUUGGCGGAAUUCCGAGUGUAGCGGUGAAAUGCGUAGAUAUUCGGAGGAACACCGGUGGCGAAGGCGGCCAACUGGGCUUUAACUGACGCUGAGGCUCGAAAGUGUGGGGAGCAAACAGGAUUAGAUACCCGGGUAGUC